UCCUGGCUUAGGAUGAACGCUAGCGACAGGCUAACACAUGCAAGUCGAGGGGCAUCACGGGAGUAGCAAUACAACGUGGUGGCGACCGGCGCACGGGUGAGUAACGCGUAUGCAACCUACCUAUCGAGAGGGGAAUAACCCGGCGAAAGUCGGACUAAUACCGCAUAAAACAGGGGCACCGCAUGGUGAUAUUUGUUAAAGAAAUUCGCUGAUAGAUGGGCAUGCGCUCCAUUAGGUAGUUGGUGAGGUAGCGGCUCACCAAGCCGACGAUGGAUAGGGGAACUGAGAGGUUGGUCCCCCACACUGGUACUGAGACACGGACCAGACUCCUACGGGAGGCAGCAGUGAGGAAUAUUGGUCAAUGGGCGGGAGCCUGAACCAGCCAAGUCGCGUGAAAGGAAGAAGGAUCUAUGGUUCGUAAACUUCUUUUGCAGGGGAAUAAAGUGCAGGACGUGUCCUGUUUUGUAUGUACCCUGAGAAUAAGGAUCGGCUAACUCCGUGCCAGCCGCAGC
RNAcentral lists this ribosomal RNA (512 nucleotides) under uncultured bacterium. RNAcentral describes it as "bacterial SSU rRNA". It matches the Rfam family "Bacterial small subunit ribosomal RNA", at positions 17 to 518 of the family's 1533-position model. The record is from RNAcentral.